GUUGAUGAGAGAAAGAUUUCCAAAAUUGGUUAAUCAUCUGGAUUACUUGGGAGUGCAGGUGGCAUGGAUAUCUGGACCUUGGUUUCUUUCCAUCUUUGUCAAUAUGAUUCCUUGGGAAAGUGUUAUCCGAGUUUGGGAUGUUCUUCUGUUUGAAGGAAAUCGUGUGAUGCUGUUUCGAACUGCACUUGCUUUGAUGGAAUUAUAUGGUCCAGCCUUAGUAACAACUAAAGAUGCUGGGGAUGCAAUUACUUUGUUGCAAUCCCUUGCGGGGUCAACAUUUGAUAGCAGCCAGCUUGUUUUUACUGCUUGCAUGGGGUUUUUGGCUGUAAAUGAGGCUAGACUACAAGAGUUGAGAGAAAAGCAUAGACCAGCUGUACUACUAGUGGUAGAGGAAAGAUCGAAAAAGGGUAGAGUUUGGAAGGAUUCAAAGGGGCUUGCAUCUAAGCUGUACAGUUUUAAGCAUGACCGUGGACAAGUAACAAAAGAAA
Molecule: unclassified non-coding RNA, 488 nt
Filed under: Hevea brasiliensis (rubber tree)
Lineage: Eukaryota; Viridiplantae; Streptophyta; Magnoliopsida; Malpighiales; Euphorbiaceae
Source: RNAcentral